Molecule: non-coding RNA, 99 nt
Filed under: Spiroplasma poulsonii
Lineage: Bacteria; Bacillati; Mycoplasmatota; Mollicutes; Entomoplasmatales; Spiroplasmataceae
Description: Guanine sequence
Rfam family: Purine riboswitch aptamer
About the family: Riboswitches are metabolite binding domains within certain messenger RNAs that serve as precision sensors for their corresponding targets. Allosteric rearrangement of mRNA structure is mediated by ligand binding, and this results in modulation of gene expression.
Source: RNAcentral
UAAUACUAUAAUAUAUUUUCCUAUAUAUACUAGAAAUAUGGUCUGGUGUCUCUACAGUUAACCCUAAAUUAAUUAACUAUAGGUCUUAAUUUAUUUUUA